RNAcentral lists this transfer RNA (103 nucleotides) under Candidatus Helarchaeota archaeon. RNAcentral's name for it is "tRNA-Thr". It matches the Rfam family "tRNA". Rfam says of the family: Transfer RNA (tRNA) molecules are approximately 80 nucleotides in length. Their secondary structure includes four short double-helical elements and three loops (D, anti-codon, and T loops). Further hydrogen bonds mediate the characteristic L-shaped molecular structure. tRNAs have two regions of fundamental functional importance: the anti-codon, which is responsible for specific mRNA codon recognition, and the 3' end, to which the tRNAs corresponding amino acid is attached (by aminoacyl-tRNA synthetases). tRNAs cope with the degeneracy of the genetic code in two manners: having more than one tRNA (with a specific anti-codon) for a particular amino acid; and 'wobble' base-pairing, i.e. permitting non-standard base-pairing at the 3rd anti-codon position. Lineage: Archaea; Promethearchaeati; Candidatus Helarchaeota. The record is from RNAcentral.
GCCUCUGUAGCUCAGCUGGUAGAGCGGCAGCCUCGUAAGCUGUUGGACAUGAUCAAAUCGAUUGGUUAUGGACAAAUCGCGGGUUCAAAUCCCGUCAGGGGCU